Molecule: transfer RNA, 89 nt
Filed under: Caudoviricetes sp.
Lineage: Duplodnaviria; Heunggongvirae; Uroviricota; Caudoviricetes
Description: tRNA-Ala
Source: RNAcentral
GCCGCUGUUAGUGCGCGUAAGAAUCGACAACGUGCACUUCUCCUCGCAAGGGGAGAGGUGGUAUCCGAGUUCGAGUCUCGGCAGCAGCA